CUUAGUGGCGGACGGGUGGGUAACGCGUGGGGAACCUGCCCUGUACAGGGGGAUAACACUUAGAAAUAGGUGCUAAUACCGCAUAAGCGCACAGUAUCGCAUGAUACAGUGUGAAAAACUCCGGUGGUACAGGAUGGACCCGCGUCUGAUUAGCUGGUUGGCGGGGUAACGGCCCACCAAGGCGACGAUCAGUAGCCGGCCUGAGAGGGUGAACGGCCACAUUGGGACUGAGACACGGCCCAAACUCCUACGGAAGGCAGCAG
This 263-nucleotide ribosomal RNA is filed under the name uncultured bacterium. RNAcentral's name for it is "partial 16S ribosomal RNA". It matches the Rfam family "Bacterial small subunit ribosomal RNA", at positions 91 to 354 of the family's 1533-position model. The record is from RNAcentral.